RNAcentral lists this ribosomal RNA (115 nucleotides) under Danio rerio (zebrafish). Lineage: Eukaryota; Metazoa; Chordata; Actinopteri; Cypriniformes; Danionidae. The record is from RNAcentral.
GACGGCAGCUAGCUCUCUGCAACUCUCACAUGGUCACCCUCUAAAGCUAAGCAGGGAUGCGCCCGGUCAGUACUUGGAUGGGAGACCACAUAGGAAAGCUAGGUUGCUGCCGGAA